This 874-nucleotide ribosomal RNA is filed under the name uncultured bacterium. RNAcentral's name for it is "bacterial SSU rRNA". It matches the Rfam family "Bacterial small subunit ribosomal RNA", at positions 9 to 873 of the family's 1533-position model. The record is from RNAcentral.
AGAGUUUGAUCCUGGCUCAGGAUGAACGCUGGCGGCGUGCUUAACACAUGCAAGUCGAACGAAGCAUUUUCUCAUCUUCGGAAGAGGAAAUGACUGAGUGGCGGACGGGUGAGUAACGCGUGGGGAACCUGCCUUAUACAGGGGGAUAACAGCUGGAAACGGCUGCUAAUACCGCAUGACCCGCUAGUGCCGCAUGGCACGGACGGAAAAGAUUAUAUCGGUAUAAGAUGGACCCGCGUCUGAUUAGCCAGUUGGUGGGGUAACGGCCUACCAAAGCAGCGAUCAGUAGCCGGCUUGAGAGAGUGAACGGCCACAUUGGGACUGAGACACGGCCCAAACUCCUACGGGAGGCAGCAGUGGGGAAUAUUGCACAAUGGGGGAAACCCUGAUGCAGCAACGCCGCGUGAAGGAAGAAGUAUUUCGGUAUGUAAACUUCUAUCAGCAGGGAAGAAAAUGACGGUACCUGACUAAGAAGCCCCGGCUAACUACGUGCCAGCAGCCGCGGUAAUACGUAGGGGGCAAGCGUUAUCCGGAUUUACUGGGUGUAAAGGGAGCGUAGGUGGCAUGGCAAGUCCGAUGUGAAAGCCCGUGGCUCAACCACGGGACUGCAUUGGAAACUGUCAGGCUGGAGUGCAGGAGAGGUAAGUGGAAUUCCUAGUGUAGCGGUGAAAUGCGUAGAUAUUAGGAGGAACACCAGUGGCGAAGGCGGCUUACUGGACUGUAACUGACACUGAGGCUCGAAAGCGUGGGGAGCAAACAGGAUUAGUUUCCCUGGUAGUCCACGCCGUAAACGAUGAAUACUAUUUGUCGGGAAGCUAAAGCUUUUCGGUGCCGCAGCAAACGCAAUAAGUAUCCACCCUGGGGAUAUCGGUAA